Molecule: ribosomal RNA, 501 nt
Filed under: Myrothecium sp. FMBV1
Lineage: Eukaryota; Fungi; Ascomycota; Sordariomycetes; Hypocreales; Stachybotryaceae
Description: SSU rRNA
Rfam family: Eukaryotic small subunit ribosomal RNA
Source: RNAcentral
CUCUCUGGUGAUUCAUGAUAACUUCUCGAAUCGCAUGGCCUUGUGCCGGCGAUGGUUCAUUCAAAUUUCUUCCCUAUCAACUUUCGAUGUUUGAGGUAGUGGCCAAACAUGGUUGCAACGGGUAACGGAGGGUUAGGGCUCGACCCCGGAGAAGGAGCCUGAGAAACGGCUACUACAUCCAAGGAAGGCAGCAGGCGCGCAAAUUACCCAAUCCCGACACGGGGAGGUAGUGACAAUAAAUACUGAUACAGGGCUCUUUUGGGUCUUGUAAUUGGAAUGAGUACAAUUUAAAUCCCUUAACGAGGAACAAUUGGAGGGCAAGUCUGGUGCCAGCAGCCGCGGUAAUUCCAGCUCCAAUAGCGUAUAUUAAAGUUGUUGUGGUUAAAAAGCUCGUAGUUGAACCUUGGGCCUGGCUGGCCGGUCCGCCUCACCGCGUGUACUGGUCCGGCCGGGCCUUUCCCUCUGUGGAACCCCAUGCCCUUCACUGGGUGUGGCGGGGAA